RNAcentral lists this ribosomal RNA (322 nucleotides) under uncultured bacterium. RNAcentral's name for it is "bacterial SSU rRNA". It matches the Rfam family "Bacterial small subunit ribosomal RNA", at positions 794 to 1116 of the family's 1533-position model. The record is from RNAcentral.
UCCACGCCGUAAACGGUGGGCGCUAGAUGUGGGGACCAUUCCAUGGUUUCUGCGUCGCAGCUAACGCAUUAAGCGCCCCGCCUGGGGAGUACGGUCGCAAGACUAAAACUCAAAGGAAUUGACGGGGGCCCGCACAAGCAGCGGAGCAUGCGGCUUAAUUCGAUGCAACGCGAAGAACCUUACCUAGGCUUGACAUAUAGAGAAAUCCCACAGAGAUGUGGAGUCCGUAAGGGCUCUAUACAGGUGGUGCAUGGUUGUCGUCAGCUCGUGUCGUGAGAUGUUGGGUUAAGUCCCGCAACGAGCGCAACCCUCGUUCUAUGUU